RNAcentral lists this unclassified non-coding RNA (397 nucleotides) under soil metagenome. RNAcentral's name for it is "partial contains 5.8S ribosomal RNA, internal transcribed spacer 2, and large subunit ribosomal RNA". The stretch from base 1 to 121 matches the Rfam family "5.8S ribosomal RNA", at positions 35 to 154 of the family's 154-position model. The record is from RNAcentral.
GAUGAAGAACGUAGCGAAAUGCGAUACGUAGUGUGAAUUGCAGAAUUCCGUGAAUCAUCGAAUCUUUGAACGCAUAUUGCGCCCGAGGCCUCUGGCCAAGGGCAUGUCUGCCUCAGCGUCGGGUUAAUACUCGCCCCCUCUUCUCAUUUAUGAGUAGAACGGGCGGAUCUAGCCGUUCCAGUGAUCAUUUGAGAGCUGGAUCAGCCGAAGAACAGAGGCUAACCAAGGACCCGUCAAGGGCCGCAACUGGGUGGGCAGCUCACGCUUGCUAUAUCAUCUUGGUUGUUGGUCUGGGACUUUGUUGUUCGGCCCAAAACAGGAAAACCCACAUUCAUUAUCUCGACCUGAGCUCAGGCAUGAACACCCGCUGAACUUAAGCAUAUCAAUAAGCGGAGGA